Pezoporus flaviventris is the source of this 475-nucleotide long non-coding RNA. RefSeq lists it as uncharacterized. The transcript is spliced from 3 exons. Lineage: Eukaryota; Metazoa; Chordata; Aves; Psittaciformes; Psittacidae. The record is from RefSeq and is a predicted model, not a curated record.
AUGAAAACAGUCUGCACUCUUUUCUCCAAGAACCUUCUUGUACUUUAUGGUGUUUAUGUUAACUUCAAGAGGAUUUUCUGUUUUUUUCAUCAGGAGACUGUCAAUGAAAUUCACUCAGAACUUCAUCCUACUGGUGGAGCUGCUAAAUUGAAUAGCAGUACUGCAAACUCAUUGAGAGGAUGCUGAGGCAGUGGGAGCAUUCUUUGUCAGGUAGCAGAGCUGUCUGGCCAUGGAGGAGGAGAUCUUGUGGGUGUUGGUGAAUUGGAUGGUAGCAGGCAUCUUUCCUAAAAGAAAGAUGAUUGAAUACAGGAGCUAUAGUAGCAGGUUAUGAGUAGACCCAAAUGGACAAGAUUGUACACAAUACCCUCACCUGCUCUCCCUGACUGCCCAGGCUAAGGAAUAUGGGAGUCCUGCUAUGAGAAGCAUAGAACUGUCCAUUAUUUUGUCCUCCACAAAGUUAUUGAUCCUGAGCUCA